RNAcentral lists this transfer RNA (81 nucleotides) under Cordylochernes scorpioides. RNAcentral's name for it is "tRNA-Gly". Lineage: Eukaryota; Metazoa; Arthropoda; Arachnida; Pseudoscorpiones; Chernetidae. The record is from RNAcentral.
UGUCCAGGGGCGGGAAUCGAACCCACACCCUUCUGCUUACCGGUAAGCAGAAGGGUGUGGGUUCGAUUCCCGCCCCUGGAC